GUUCAGAACGUCGUGAGACAGUUCGGUCCCUAUCUACCGUGGGCGUUAGAAUUUUGAGGGAAGCUGCUCCUAGUACGAGAGGACCGGAGUGGACGAACCUCUGGUGUACCAGUUGUCACGCCAGUGGCACCGCUGGGUAGCUAUGUUCGGACAGGAUAACCGCUGAAAGCAUCUAAGCGGGAAGCCCCUCCCAAGAUGAGAAUUCUCUGAGAGCUAGACUCUCCUAAAGGGCCGUUGGAGACGACGACGUUGAUAGGCGGGAUGUGGAAGUGCAGUAAUGUAUGUAGCUAACCCGUACUAAUUGCCCGUGAGGCUUGAUCCUAUAACCCGGAA
RNAcentral lists this ribosomal RNA (333 nucleotides) under Thiothrix sp. RNAcentral describes it as "partial 23S ribosomal RNA". It matches the Rfam family "Bacterial large subunit ribosomal RNA", at positions 2609 to 2925 of the family's 2925-position model. Lineage: Bacteria; Pseudomonadati; Pseudomonadota; Gammaproteobacteria; Thiotrichales; Thiotrichaceae. The record is from RNAcentral.